UGCAUCGGCCGGGAAUCGAACCCUGGCGAGCAUUCUACCACUGAACCACCGAUGC
This 55-nucleotide transfer RNA is filed under the name Cordylochernes scorpioides. Its description in RNAcentral is "tRNA-Ser". The record is from RNAcentral. Lineage: Eukaryota; Metazoa; Arthropoda; Arachnida; Pseudoscorpiones; Chernetidae.